This 52-nucleotide transfer RNA is filed under the name Paragonimus westermani. RNAcentral describes it as "partial tRNA-Thr". Lineage: Eukaryota; Metazoa; Platyhelminthes; Trematoda; Plagiorchiida; Troglotrematidae. The record is from RNAcentral.
AUCGUUAGAAUGCUGCUUUUGUAAAGCAGCGGUGUGAUUUUGUGACUUCUUU